AAGUCGUAACAAGGUCUCCGUUGGUGAACCAGCGGAGGGAUCAUUAAAGAGUUGCAAAACUCCCAAACCCUAUGUGAAUCUUACCUUCUGUUCGUUGCUUCGGCAGGCGGCCCCAGGGCGGGGUCUCCUACCUGGGUCUCCCAGGUGCCUGCCGGGGGAAUACAAAACUCUUUUAUUUUUAAGUCUGUCUGAGCAAAAACACAAAUAAGUUAAAACUUUCAACAACGGAUCUCUUGGUUCUGGCAUCGAUGAAGAACGCAGCGAAAUGCGAUAAGUAAUGUGAAUUGCAGAAUUCAGUGAAUCAUCGAAUCUUUGAACGCACAUUGCGCCCACUAGUAUUCUGGUGGGCAUGCCUGUUCGAGCGUCAUUUCAACCCUCAAGCCCUGUUUGCUUGGUGUUGGGGCCCUACGGGAUCAGUCCCGUAGGCCCUGAAGGUCAGUGGCGGGCUCGCUAGUGCUCCGAGCGUAGUAGCUAUUGUUUUCUCGCUUAGGACGCCUGGCGGGUUGCUAGCCGUAAAACCCCCCAAUUUUUCAAGGUUGACCUCGGAUCAGGUAGGAAUACCCGCUGAACUUAA
This 574-nucleotide ribosomal RNA is filed under the name uncultured Lecythophora. RNAcentral describes it as "eukaryotic LSU rRNA". The stretch from base 214 to 367 matches the Rfam family "5.8S ribosomal RNA". The record is from RNAcentral. Lineage: Eukaryota; Fungi; Ascomycota; Sordariomycetes; Coniochaetales.